UACGGAGGAUCCAAGCGUUAUCCGGAAUCAUUGGGUUUAAAGGGUCCGUAGGCGGUUUGGUAAGUCAGUGGUGAAAGCCCAUCGCUCAACGGUGGAACGGCCAUUGAUACUGCCAGACUUGAAUUAUUAGGAAGUAACUAGAAUAUGUAGUGUAGCGGUGAAAUGCUUAGAGAUUACAUGGAAUACCAAUUGCGAAGGCAGGUUACUACUAAUGAUUGACGCUGAUGGACGAAAGCGUGGGUAGC
Molecule: ribosomal RNA, 245 nt
Filed under: uncultured bacterium
Lineage: Bacteria
Description: partial 16S ribosomal RNA
Rfam family: Bacterial small subunit ribosomal RNA
Source: RNAcentral